AUGUGGACAUCUCUGAGGAACACAGUGUUGCUGGAGCCUAUCCCAAGCAGCCUUGGUGGGGUGCCAGACCUCCGCAGCGACCCGAAAACCCUCACCUAUGAAGCGUGUUCCUGGACUGUGGAGGGAAAGCGGAGAAAAAACCCCCCGAGGAUAAACGUAUCUAAAGGCGUCACUGCAGACGUUUUUCCUCAACAGCAGAAAUCCUCGUCACACCAGGAGUUUCAAUCCUUUCGUGGAUUCAGUUUUCCAGAAAUCCUCUGAAGCGACAUCUUUCAUCAGAUUUCAAAGACUUAUGUUCUGUAACGCUCACGCUAAACAUGCACCGCUAAUGACAGACUCCUCUUUAUGAAGCAGGAAUAAUUGAAAAAACCCCAAAGAUCCAAUAAAAUUCUUUAGAUUCGAUUCUUUACAUUUUACAGUCAAGCAUUUUAUCACUUUCUGUUUAUUGUGUUUAUUUAACUGUUUUAGUCUGGUUGGACGUUAAAGGACAUGAAUCAACUGACAGCUGACAGGAGAAACGUGUCGAUUAUUUUAAAUAAUCAAUUUGCAAAUACUUUUUUUUCUACUUAAGGAAAAUAAACUACUUGGUAAUGAUGAGAAGAAUCUGCUGAGUCAUAACAUAAUUUGUGUUUGCCAAUCAUAACUCUAUUUUGGUUCAUUCUGAUUCCUAAAAUCUAUUCAGAACAUAUUUAUCUAAAUUCUGAACCAAUGUGACUCGGAUAAAUACCUGCGACUGAGCAGCGCAGGUGAAUCUUCUUGCAAGAUUGAUCUUAUUUUGAAACUAUUUUUAGGAACAGAAUUCAUCGUUACACUCCAAGUUUUUUGGGGGUUUUUUUGGCCAUUUUUAGUUUUCAUUUAUCAAAACAAUCUCAGAAUGAUGACGUCAAUCUCUCUAAACCAAUUUUCUUCACUGUCACAAAAAAUAUUUUAUUCUCACCGUAGCAAAGCUUGAAACCCUUAACGUUUACAAAAAGUUUAUUAUUUAUUAAAGAACAUUUUAAAAAAAAUUGAUCAGUUUUGGUGGAUUUAAAAAAGCAAACGUCACAUGCUGCUCAGGCUGUGAGUUUUGGGGUCUUCUGGGUCCACAAUAAGUUUUCAUUUCCUUUGAGGCUCACAAACUUUAUAUGUUUAAUCUUAGAAAUAACUCUCUUAAGGCAAUAAACAUCAGGAAAAAAAACUUUAGACUUUGUUGGGUAGUUGAAGGACUAAGAUGGAUACUUUAUGAGUUUCUCUCAUUGACUGUAUAAAAAAACUGGACUGAGUGACCCUCAGAGGGGAACAAAAAAAAAAUCUACAAUCCCACAUACUAAGCUAUUAUUCAGUCAUUCUAUUGGUCAGAAUAACUAUUCUUGAUUUUUUUAACAUCUUCUUGUUCAUCCUAUUUUUUCAUGACAAUAUUUCUUAGCUAUUUGGCCAAUCAGAGGCCUCGAUGUAAUGGCGACUGAAUUGACUUCAUUUGAUUGGAGCCGGAAGCAAACUGUUUUCUAUGGGUGACAUCAUACUCGCUCAGUCCAGUUUUCUUAUACAAUCAAUGGUUGCUCAUUUAAAAGUUAUUUAUCGUCUUAUUAAUUUUCAGUUCAUUUGUUUUUUGUCUUGUGGUGCUUUAUUUCAUUAAUACACUUUCAUAAACUUGACUCAUGUCAUGUAUUUCCGUCGAAUGGUGUUUUUUUUCUCAUCAAGUCUCACUCCAAGAUUUUUGAAAAGUUUUAGUACAAUAUAAUGUGAUUCAAAAUGUAAAAAAAACACAGAAGUUUAGAUUCAAUUAAAUACGAAGGCAAAAUUCUUUAAAUUUUAGCUCAUAAGUCAGUAAAUAGUUUAAGAAAUCGAUAGAUUUAAGGGGGAAAAGAAUUGGUGAUAACGAAGUAAUUUUGUCCGUCUUUGGUUUCCGUACAGUCCAAAACAACAUGGCGUCACGUGAGAACACAGCGGACUGAUUCCAGACAUGCUUUCGUGGUUUUCUCUCCUCGUGGCGACACUUUAAGGAUGUCGGUUGUUUUGUAAAGUCUCUGCGGUCAGUCUCCAGCGAGGGUCCGGUCCGGAGCGACUGAUCCCCGGUGGAGGUUCGGUUGGUGCCGCGGCCCGC
This 2083-nucleotide long non-coding RNA is filed under the name Oryzias javanicus (javanese ricefish). Its description in RNAcentral is "lncRNA (ENSOJAG00000018139.1)". The record is from RNAcentral. Lineage: Eukaryota; Metazoa; Chordata; Actinopteri; Beloniformes; Adrianichthyidae.